RNAcentral lists this long non-coding RNA (9282 nucleotides) under Malus domestica (apple). RNAcentral's name for it is "long non-coding RNA (MDOM_LNC005454)". Lineage: Eukaryota; Viridiplantae; Streptophyta; Magnoliopsida; Rosales; Rosaceae. The record is from RNAcentral.
AAAACCAAACUUACAAUUAUACACAACCAAAAAGGGCCAAAACCAACAGAAAACAAGAAAGGGGCCCCACAACACUGAAGCCCAAAAAAACACAGAACAACCAACCGAGAAGCUUCUACUGAAAUCUCCUCCACCGACAGAGAUCCAAGCCAGCCACCGGAAACGUCAUCCAUCACCGAGCAUCGCCGCCUCAGACAACACCGCCAACCCCGAACAGCAACCAGAUCACAGCCAUUAACAGGAGAUAAUUGGCACCAAACAGGGAUUACAUUGGAGUUGCAUAGUACGAACAAUUCGGACUUAUUACAUUGAGGUUACAUGUCACUUACAUGCGAAAUUUAGUAUGACAGUAUCACGAUACGAGGAUAAACCAAUUUAACAUUUGAUUUCUCUCCUCCCACAUUUUCCUUUCACUAUGUCUUAUCGAAACUCAAACAUCUUGCAUUGGCAUCGCCCUCAAAUGCUCGGCCUCACGUUAAGACGAGACGCCAGUUUUUGACCAAAGGAUCGGUCAGCCUGCAUUUCAAUUACCACCAGCACACGUCAUAUUCCCGUACGAAAUCACAUCCAACUAUUACCAAUUCACAAAUGCGAAUACUUUGCAAGUAUGCACUCACCUGAGACCAGUAUGAGAUCCAAAUGCUGCGAAUUUCAUGGGUGACACGAGGUUCGGAUAGGACAUCAACCCAUCGGUGGAGGAAUCGCUCUUGCCUGCAAUGAACAUUUAGAUUAUGAAAAUGACGUUUAAAUACAUAUAUUUUCCACAUAGAGACAUCAUAGGGUUGGCAGCUACCUGUCGGGUGCCCAAGAUCUGUAUCUCUCUCCAGGUUGCUUGAAGUUGUUCUCCUUCUCAAUGACGCACUGCAUAUCCAACCAAACCACCAUACACAAAUUAAACGCAAAGUUGCUACAUGAAUCAUGAUGUGCAGUACUCCAAAAGGAUUCAGACAUGCAACAAGCAUUCGUGCAUGGCUCUAACUUUUUACAUUCCAAGUGCCUUCAAGUUUCACAUAAAUAGAAAAACACAGAAAACAAGAACAUGGGGAAAACUAAGGGAAAUUAAAAUGAAUUCUUUUACAGUGAUACAAACUGACCUUCUCACGCUUUCCAGUGCAGAUAUUAGAAGGAAUUGGGAAGGUCUCAGCAUGGCGAGCAGGAUCAUACCUUGAUGGGAAGUAAUUAACCUACAGAACAGUAUGGCAUCUAAGCAGAGAAAACUUCGAUGAACAAAAAGCAAAAAUUGAAGUACAUGUCUGAAUCUUGGUCAAUGCAAGUGUAAAAAGACACAAAGGCAUUCAAUAAGCCUCAACAAUCGAGGGAAAAAGUGGUAUUAUACUUGGAAAGGAAAUUCUAAAAAGCAAAAGUACCUCCUCAUCCCUAUGCAUGAAAUUCAUAAAUCCUUCAUGGUGAUUGUUGUGUGAUGAGAACACUUGGGAGCAUUAACUGGGAGCUGCAAAUAGUUCGGGCCAAGACGGUGCCUCUGAGUAUCAGAAUAGGAGAAGAUUCGAGUUUGGAGCAACUUAUCAUCUGAAUAGUAGACACCAGGGACAACAAUGGCAGGGCAGAAAGCAAGUUGUUCAUUCUCUGCAAAGAAGUUAUCAAUGUUCUUAUUCAGUACCAAACGGCCAACCGGCUGCAGGGGAAGAAUAUCUUCAGGCCAGGUCUUAGUAACAUCAAGUGGGUCAAAGUCAAAUCUGUCUUCUUGAUCAGGAUCAAUUGUCUGAAUAAAAAGUUUCCACUCCGGGUAGUUGCCAGCUGCGAUGGAGUCAUAGAGAUCCUUGGUAGCGUGGCUGUGAUUAGCUCCUCCAACCUUAAUAGCCUCAUCCUCCAACAAACACUUGACUCCACAAGUGGGUUUCCAAUGAAAUUUCACGUAGUGUGCCUUCCCGGCCUUACUGAUAAGAGUAUAGGUGGUUAACACCAGACCCUUCCAUGUGCCUGUAAUCUUGUGGAACUCCCAGGUCAUCCAACAGGAAGGUGAACAUGUGGAGGCUUUCUGGAUGGUGGGAGAAGAAGUCAAGGAUCCUCCAAUUCUCUUGGAUGUGGGACUUAGGGUUUGGUUUGAGAGCAUGGACCAUGUCCGGGAAUUUCAUUCCAUCGCGGACAAAAAAGAUGGGGAAAUUGUUUCCCACCAAAUCAAAAUUACCCUGUUUAAGAAAAAUAAAGUCACGAGCAUGGGUAAAGAAAGGAAUGCAUGUAUAAACAAGCAAAAACAUUAGGACCAAAUGAUUUCCAAGAGUUAGUUAAUAAUAAUGUUACAAAGAAAUCAACAAUCUGUAGAAUCAAAACAAUAUUUAAAAAAUAAAAUAAAAGGAUGAAUGCCAUAUUUCAUGGAAGUCACAACACUACUGGGUUUAGUUAAAUAUGACUAAAGUACUUGUCACUGGAGCUGUGACUAGAGAUACCACCGCAUAUUUUUAACUACAAAUAUGCUGUUGAAUAUAAUUAUGAUCAGCGACGUGUGAAACUCAACUAUCAUUAUCCAGAGGUCAUAAAAGAUCAAUAAGCCAUUGAAACCUCACCUCUCUGGUGUAAAACUUCACCGCAAAACCACGAGGAUCCCUCAGGGUUUCAGGGCUGCCACGCUCAUGGAUAACAGUGGAGAAACGCACAAUGACAGGUGUCUGAACUCCAGGGGCUCGAAGGAAGUCAGCACAUGUAAGGUGAGAAAUAUCAUGGGUGACCUCAAAGAAACCUUUUGCACUGGCUCCCCUAGCAUGGACAACACGCUCUGGGAUCCGUUCUCUAUCAAAAUUGGCGAGUUUCUCCACCAGAUGGUAGUCCUCGAGCAGAAUUGGACCUGACAAGUAGACAAAGAAUUAAAUUCUUAACUGCAUCUACUCAACUCGACAUAAUCAACCAUCCCGAUUACAUGCAAAAGAUGUGAUAAGAAUGAAACUAGCGGUUAUACAUUUUAUAAAGUAUGUCAAAUAUAGAUGACUGCUAUCACUUGCAAAGAUAGUAACUUUUAUUUAGUUUCAGGCAACCAGACGAUCAAAAAAUCUAUCUUGACAACCUGAGAGGCAAAGAAAAAAAGGGACCGGCAGGAAUUCAUUGAAAACCAACAGACUGGGAACUAUAGUUGAGAAAUUUAAACAUAAAUGCCGAAUAGGGAAAGUUCUAACUUCAAAAACAAACUAUAUAAAUAAGUAAAUAUAUAUAAAUAUAUAUCAGAAAAACAACAAGAGUUUCAAAAUAGCAAUCAUCUUCAACUUGGUAGUGAUACAAACAUCCAAAAAGUCAUCUUGUAGUUCACAAUAACAUGGACAGAAUAUCGAUGCAUACACAGAUUACAGCAUCAAAACAUGAUUAUGAUUAUUCACAAGGUGCUCGAGAAGCGAUGUGCAACUAAAAAACCACAAAAAGGUAAAACUUGAAGAAAAUUUGCAAUUGAAAAUCCGUCAAAAGCAAAUAAACAAAUAGAUAAAUCAAAAGUGGAUUAAGAAUUAAAUCACCUCUCGGUCCAACAGUGAGAGAAGAGUUGUUGUUCCAAACUGGAGCACCGGAAUUGGUGGUCCAGAACGGGGAAUUGAAAGCACUUGAAGGGCGGUGCUGCAACACACACGAAAACAAACCAACCCAAAACCAUUAGAGAGGGCUUUGUUUGGUGGCCGAGAAAAUAAACAAGAAAAGUAAUUCAACAAGAAAAUCAAACUUAAAUCAAUCAAAUUAAGAGCAUAAACAAGUAAAAAAGAAAAAACCCCAGAAAGAUUAAGAUUAAGAUUAGCGUGUUACCCUGUAAGGAUCCAUGGAGGAAGGUCGGGUUAGAGAGAGAGCUUGAUGGAGAAGGUAAGAGGUGAGCAGAGGAAGGGGGUAAGCCACUCACUCACUCAGAUGGGGCAAUCGAAGGCUGAAAUGUAAGCAAAUUUGGUGGAUUUAUAAACGCUGACUUUCGGCUUUGGGUAUGGGUCGUGGGCGUGGCUCACGCUUUUGUGUGAAAUUUCCAUUUUCCGCUCUCGGCCUCACGUUAUCUUUAUCCACACACACACACAGCUGGAAGGUCACUACGUAUCUUUGCCAAUUUAUCGUCACUACAUAUCUUUGCCUAUAAACUACGUACGCAUCCGCAUGGCUAUAAAAGUAUGACUACACAACAUCUCGCAUAGAAACAGUGAAAAUCGGUGCCUGCAACCGGCACUUGUUACAUUUUUUUUUUGGAAAAAGUUUGACUGUAGUAAAACUACGUCAAAACUUCCUCAACUUUUAUUAAACAAGUCCAAAAUUACAAGUAAACAAGAAACCCAACUUACAAUUAUACACAAUCAAAAAGGACCGAAACCAACAGAAAACAAGAAAGAGGCCCCACAACAAUGAAGCCCCAAAAAAAACACAGAACAACCAACCGAGAAGCUUCUGCUGAAAUCUCCUCCACCGACAGAGAUCCAAGCCAGCCACCGGAAACGUCAUCCAUCACCGAGCAUCGCCGCCUCAGACAACACCGCCAACCCCGAACAGCAACCAGAUCACAUCCAUUAACAGGAGAUAAUUGGCACCAAACAGGGAUUACAUUGGAGUUGCAUAGUACGAACGAUUCGGACUUAUUACAUUGAGGCUACAUGUCACUUACAUGCGAAAUUUAGUGUGACAGUAUCACGAUACUCAAAACAUCUUGCAUUGGCAUCGCCCUCAAAUGCUCGGCCUCACGUUAAGACGAGACGCCAGUUUUUGACCAAAGGAUCGGUCAGCCUGCAUUUCAAUUACCACCAGCACACAUCAUAUUCCAGUACGAAAUCACAUCCAACUAUUACCAAUUCACAAAUGCGAAUACUUUGCAAGUAUGCACCCACCUGAGACCAGUAUGAGAUCCAAAUGCUGCGAAUUUCAUGGGUGACACGAGGUUCGGAUAGGACAUCAACCCAUCGGUGGAGGAAUCGCUCUUGCCUGCAAUGAACAUUUAGAUUAUGAACAUGACGUUUAAAUACAUAUAUUUCCACAUAGAGACAUCAUAGGGUUGGCAGCUACCUGUCGGGUGCCCAAGAUCUGUAUCUCUCUCCAGGUUGCUUGAAGUUGUUCUCCUUCUCAAUGACGCACUGCAUUUCCAACGAAACCACCAUACACAAAUUAAACGCAAAGUUGCAAUAUGAAUCAUGAUGUGCAGCGCACCAACAGGAUUCAGAAAUGCAACAAGCAUCCAUGCAUGUAUCUAACUUUUUACAUUCCAAGUGCUUUCAAGUUUCAAGUAAAAAAGAAAAUGAGAAAUUAGGUUCUCAUCCUUCAUUUUACUAUUUCAUUGAUUAAAAUUCUAUUUAUUUUUAAUUUUUUAUCAAGAUCCUUGGUAUUAAUAAUAUCAUUAAUUAUUUCAAUACUAAAAUAUUUUUUAUUUCUAAAUAUAUUCAUUUAAUGUUAAAAUGUUACAAUUAGUAUAUUUAUAUUUAUGACUAAAUUUUUUAUCAUAUAUUUUUAGUUUUAGUUUGUACCCUUUUUAAUUUGUAAUUCUUUUUUAAUUUGUUCUAAUUUUCUUUUCAAUUUUAAUUUGUACCCAUAUAUUAAUUUUUUUUUGUGCCCAUAUUUUUUAAAGUUUAUUUUUAUUUGUACCCAUAUUUUUUUUUAUACUUUUUAUUUUGCUAAAUGUACCCAUGCUAAUUAUAUGUACCCAUUCAUGUAAAACUUUUUAAUCUUAAAAUGUACUCAUUCUUAAAUAUACCAAUUUGUUAUAUGUAAAAUGUACCAUUUUUUAUAUAUAAUCUAUUCAAUGUUUUAAAUCCAUUUUUAAACUUAUAUGGGUACAUUCUUUUUUCUUUGAUUUUAAAAUGUAUCCAUGUCAAGUUUAAUCGAAGCAAUUUACUAAUGUUAUUAAGUCUAAUAUCUUUUUUUUUUGUUGUGAUUUUGAAGAAUGUACCCAUGUUUUGAUACAAUCAUUUUUUUGGUUAAUUUUGUUGAAUGUACCCAUGUUUAUAUAUAUGGGCACACAAUAGUAUAUUUAUAUUUUACUAUUUUUAAUCCCACAAAUUAUAGUUUUUUUUAUUUAAAAUCUCAUUUAUAUAAACUAAAAUUUCAAAUUUUUAAUUUAAAAAAUAUAGUAACAUACAUAGAAAUAAAUUAUCGCAUUGAUUUCAAGAACCUCAAUCAAAAAUUAAAAACCAACAAUUUUUAAAUCAAAGAAUAUUCAUAGUUAAGGACCGCAUCCAAAGUCUCCCGGAGAAAUUAGGUUCUAAUCCUUCAUUUUACUAUUUCAUUGAUUAAAAUCCUAUUUCUUUUUAAUUUUUUAUCAAGGUCCUUGGGUAUUAAUAAUAUCAUUAAUUAUUUCAAUAAUAAAUUAAUUUUUAUUUCUAAAUAUAUUCAUUUAAUGUUUAAAAUGUUACAAUUAGUAUAUUUAUAUUUAUGAUUAAAUUUUUUAUCAUAUAUUUUUAGUUUUAGUUUGUACCCAUUUUUAAUUUGUAAUUCUUUUUUAAUUUGUACCAAUUUUCUUUUCAAUUUUAAUUUAUAUCCAUAUAUUAAUUUCUUUUUGUGCCCAUAUUUUUUAAAGUUUAUUUGUAUUUGUACCCAUAUAUUUUUUUUAUUUAUACUUUUUAUUUUGCUAAAUGUAUCCAUGCUAAUUAUAUGUACCCAUUCAUGUAAAACUUUUUAAUCUUAAAAUGUACUCAUUCUUAAAUAUACCAAUUUGUUAUAUGUAAAAUGUACCAUUUUUUUAUAUAUAAUCUAUUCAAUGUUUUAAAUCCAUUUUUAAACUUAUAUGGGUACAUUCUUUUUUCUAUGAUUUUAAAAUGUAUCCAUGUCAAGUUUCAUCGAAGAAAUUUACUAAUGUUAAGUCUAAUAUCUUUCUUCUUUUUUUUUGUGAUUUUGAAGAAUGUACCCAUGUUUUGAUACAAUAAUUUUUUUGGUUAAUUUUGUUGAAUGUACCCAUGUUUAUAUAUAUAUAUAUAUAUACACACACAAUAGUAUAUUUAUAUUUUAAUAUUUUUAAUCCCACAAAUUAUGGUUUUUUUAUUUAAAAUCUCAUUUAUAUAAAUAAAUAAAAUUUCUAAUUUUUAAUUUAAAAAAUAUAGUAACAUACAUAGAAAUAAAUUAUCAUAUUGAUUUCAGGGAUCUCAAUCAAAAAUUAAAAACCAACAAGAUUUCAAUAAAAAAAUAUUCAUAGUUAAGGACCGCAUCCAAAGUAUCCUAAAAGAAAAACACAGAAAACAAGAACAUGGGAAAACUAAGGAAAUUUAAAUGAAUUAUUCUACAUUGAUACAAACUGACCUUCUCACGCUUUCCAGUGAAAAUAUUAGAAGGAAUUGGGAAGGUCUCAGCAUGGCGAACAGGAUCAAACCUUGAUGGGAAGUAGUCAAUCUACAGAAAACAGUAGGGCAUCUGAGCAGAGAAAACUUUGAUGAACAAACAAGUGAAAAUUUAAGUAGACGUCCGAAUCUUGAGCAACGCAAGUGUAAAAAGGGUAAAAGGCAUUCAAUAAGCGUCAGCAAUUGAGGGGGAAAGUGGUAUUGCACUUGGAAAAGAAAAUCAUAAGAGCAAAAGUACCUCCUCAUCUCUGUGCAUGAAAUUCAUAGAUCCGUCAUAGUGAUUGUUGUGAUGAGCACACUUGGGAGCAUUAACUGGGAGCUGCAGAUAGUUGGGGCCAAGACGGUGCCUCUGAGUAUCAGAAUAGGCGAAGAGUCGAGUUUGGAGCAUCUUAUCAUUUGAAUAAUAGAUACCAGGGACAACAAGGGCCGGGUUGAAAGCAAGUUGUUCAUUCUCUGCAAAGAAGUUAUCAAUGUUCUUAUUCAGUACCAAACGGCCAACAGGCUGCAGGGGAAGAAGAUCUUCGGGCCAGGUCUUAGUAUCAUCAAGUGGGUCAAAGUCAAAUCUGUCUUCAUGAUCAGGAUCCAUUAUCUGAAUAAAAAGUUUCCACUCCGGGUAGUUGCCAGCUUCAAUUGAGUCAUAGAGAUCCUUGGUAGCGUGGCUGUGAUUAGCUCCUCCAACCUUAAUAGCCUCGUCCUCCAACAAACACUUGACUCCACAAGUGGGCUUCCAAUGAAAUUUCACGUAGUGUACCUUCCCGGCCUUGCUGAUAAGAGUAUAGGCGUGUACACCAAAGCCUUCCAUGUGCCUGUAAUCUUGUGGAACUCCCACGUCAUCGAAUAGGAAGGCGAACGUGAGCAGGCUUUCUGGAUGGUGAGAUAAGAAGUCAAGGACCCUCCAAUAUUCUUGGAUGUGGGACUUAGGGUUCGGUUUGAAAGCAUGGAUCACGUCCGGGAAUUUCAUUGCAUCACGGACAAAAAAGACGGGGAAAUUGUUUCCCACCAAGUCCCAAUUACCCUGUUUAAGAAGAACAAGGUGACAACAUGAGUAAAGUAUUUGUCACUGGAGCUGCCUGUGACUAGAGAUACCACUGUGUAUUUUUUACUAUAAAUAUGUUGUUGAAUAUAAUAUGAUCAUCGACGUGUCAUUAUCCCGAGGUUAUAAAACAUGAAUAAGCCAUUGAGACCUCACCUCUCUGGUGUAAAACUUCACUGCAAAACCACGAGGAUCCCUUAUGGUUUCAGGGCUGCCACGCUCAUGGAUAACAGUGGAGAAACGCACAAUGACAGGUGUCUGAACUCCAGGGGCUCGAAGGAAGUCAGCACAUGAAAGGUGAGAAAUAUCAUGAGUGACCUCAAAGAAACCUUUUGCACUGGCUCCCCUAGCAUGGACAACACGCUCUGGGAUCCGUUCUCUAUCAAAGUUGGCGAGUUUCUCCACCAGAUGGUAGUCCUCAAGCAGAACCGGACCUGACAAAUAGACAAAGAAUUAAAUUCUUAACUGCAUCUACUCAACUCGACAUAACCAACCAUCCCGAUCACAUGCAAAAGUCAGAGAAGAGUUAAAUCACCUCUGGGUCCUACAGUGAGAGAAGAGUUGUUGUUCGAAACUGGAGCACCGGCAUUGGUGGUCCAGAACGGGGAAUUGAAAGCACUUGAAGGGCGGUACUGCAACAACACACAAAAACAAACAAACCCAAAUCCAUGAGAGAGGGCUCUCUUUGGUGGCCGAGAUAAUAAACAAGAAAAUCAAACUUAUAAAAAAAAAAUUCAAAGUAAGAGCAUAGACAAGCAAAAGAGAAAAACCCCAGAAAGAUUAAGAUUAAGAUUAGAGUAGUGCCUUGUAAGGAUCCAUGGAGGAAGGUCAGGUUAGAGAGAGAGAGAGCUUGAUGGAGAAGGUAAGAGGUGAGCAGAGGAAGGGAGUAAGCCACUAGCUCAGAUGGGCAAUCGAAGGCUGAAAUGCAGGCAAAUUUAUAAUGGUGCUCCCACUUUUGUGUGAAAUUACCAUUUCCAGCUCUCGGCCCCACGUUAUCUUUAUCCACACACAGCUGGAAGGUCACUACAU